GAUUGGUGCUUGCAUCAUGAUUUACAUUUGAGUGAGUGGCGAACUGGUGAGUAACACGUGGGAAACCUGCCCAGAAGCGGGGGAUAACACCUGGAAACAGAUGCUAAUACCGCAUAACAACUUGGACCGCAUGGUCCGAGUUUGAAAGAUGGCUUCGGCUAUCACUUUUGGAUGGUCCCGCGGCGUAUUAGCUAGAUGGUGGGGUAACGGCUCACCAUGGCAAUGAUACGUAGCCGACCUGAGAGGGUAAUCGGCCACAUUGGGACUGAGACACGGCCCAAACUCCUACGGGAGGCAGCAGUAGGGAAUCUUCCACAAUGGACGAAAGUCUGAUGGAGCAACGCCGCGUGAGUGAAGAAGGGUUUCGGCUCGUAAAACUCUGUUGUUAAAGAAGAACAUAUCUGAGAGUAACUGUUCAGGUAUUGACGGUAUUUAACCAGAAAGCCACGGCUAACUACGUGCCAGCAGCCGCGGUAAUACGUAGGUGGCAAGCGUUGUCCGGAUUUAUUGGGCGUAAAGCGAGCGCAGGCGGUUUUUUAAGUCUGAUGUGAAAGCCUUCGGCUCAACCGAAGAAGUGCAUCGGAAACUGGGAAACUUGAGUGCAGAAGAGGACAGUGGAACUCCAUGUGUAGCGGUGAAAUGCGUAGAUAUAUGGAAGAACACCAGUGGCGAAGGCGGCUGUCUGGUCUGUAACUGACGCUGAGGCUCGAAAGUAUGGGUAGCAAACAGGAUUAGAUACCCUGGUAGUCCAUACCGUAAACGAUGAAUGCUAAGUGUUGGAGGGUUUCCGCCCUUCAGUGCUGCAGCUAACGCAUUAAGCAUUCCGCCUGGGGAGUACGGCCGCAAGGCUGAAACUCAAAGGAAUUGACGGGGGCCCGCACAAGCGGUGGAGCAUGUGGUUUAAUUCGAAGCUACGCGAAGAACCUUACCAGGUCUUGACAUACUAUGCAAAUCUAAGAGAUUAGACGUUCCCUUCGGGGACAUGGAUACAGGUGGUGCAUGGUUGUCGUCAGCUCGUGUCGUGAGAUGUUGGGUUAAGUCCCGCAACGAGCGCAACCCUUAUUAUCAGUUGCCAGCAUUAAGUUGGGCACUCUGGUGAGACUGCCGGUGACAAACCGGAGGAAGGUGGGGAUGACGUCAAAUCAUCAUGCCCCUUAUGACCUGGGCUACACACGUGCUACAAUGGAUGGUACAACGAGUUGCGAACUCGCGAGAGUAAGCUAAUCUCUUAAAGCCAUUCUCAGUUCGGAUUGUAGGCUGCAACUCGCCUACAUGAAGUCGGAAUCGCUAGUAAUCGCGGAUCAGCAUGCCGCGGUGAAUACGUUCCCGGGCCUUGUACACACCGCCCGUCACACCAUGAGAGUUUGUAAC
Molecule: ribosomal RNA, 1371 nt
Filed under: Lactiplantibacillus plantarum
Lineage: Bacteria; Bacillati; Bacillota; Bacilli; Lactobacillales; Lactobacillaceae
Description: bacterial SSU rRNA
Rfam family: Bacterial small subunit ribosomal RNA
Source: RNAcentral